Apis mellifera (honey bee) is the source of this 13399-nucleotide RNA transcript. It is a transcript of the gene named tyrosine-protein phosphatase 10D, with no coding region annotated. The record is from RefSeq and is a predicted model, not a curated record. The transcript has 21 exons. Lineage: Eukaryota; Metazoa; Arthropoda; Insecta; Hymenoptera; Apidae.
CGAGUUGGAGUGGCGAGAGAGCAGCCGAGGUCCCGUUGCCCGUGCCUGCACCGGGAGAGGCGUCAUGAAAGCGCGCCAGUUGACCGAGUGCACCUCACCUCGGACGAAACCGCGUAUUUGCCGUCGUUGAGGAGAGGCCUACCUUGCCCUCUCUGCUUUCGUGGCAAGGAUUCGGCCGGUGGCUCUCCUGCUCCUCGCUGUCACGCGCCUCUAUUGUUUCUCCAGUGCGGGGGGAGGGGGGGGGGGAAAUCUUGGUUUUUGCCAGUAUCCGGAUAGAAUAGCGGCGCGGUAUCCGUGUCGUGUGUCGGCCGAGAGUGUCGUACUCGAUUUUCGUCAUUCGUAACUCGUUGUGUGUACUCGUUUCGGAGAGAAGUUUCACCCAAGUCAAUAGUGUGCGAGUGCUAGUGUGCACGCGUGAUGCGUGAGACGUGCCGUUUCGAUUGAUCAUCGCGGAUGUCUACGCUUCGGUCUGCUAUCUUUUGACAAGUUUGAGUUCGCGUUUGAGUGGGUGGAAAAGGACGAAGGAAAGAAGAAGUUUUUCGUUUGUUCCUCUUUCAUCGACGCACGGCUUGUUGUUUCUCACGUCACGCGAAUUUCUCGUGGCGCGAUACGCGUUGUUAUUGACAUAUCGAUUUGGUUGGCACGGUGCUCGUUCCGUUUGGCGAAUCGAAUCGUCGUGCGGAGAUCCAGGAGAGAAGGAAACACCGAGAGGAGGGAAAAGAAAACCAAAAAAAGAAAGAAAGAAAGAAAUAUGAAAACUCGUUUCCGUGACUAAGGCUCGGAUGAAAGUAUUAAAACGUUUCUUUCUUUCGGUUUCACGUUGAUAACCACCGUCGCCUCGGUGGCCUGGCGUGUUUCACUUUGACGUUGAAACGUAGUGGCACGUUUCGGUUGAUAUUUCUCAUCGUUCGAAUCGAGAGAGAGAGAGAAAUCGAGGAGGAAACGGAGCAUUUCGACAGACACGCGAUACUCUUUGUUAUUCUUUGUUAUCGUAACGAUAUCGUACACACAACGUUCCGUACGUACGUUCUCUUUUCGAUUUCGUAUUUUCCGACGAUCGAUUCGAAACACGAGGAGGCGAACAAAAGGAACAAAGAUAGAUUGGCUCGAAGAUUAAUUCAAAUUCGUCGGGCGUUCGUAGCGACGUCAACGUGGGCCGCUUUAAACGAGCGAAAGGAAACUUGUAGCGCCAAAAAAAAAAAGAAGAAGAAGAAAUAACUGAUCAGACCAGAAGAUUAUCAAAAACCUCGUACAUUCCAUUUUAUUUUUUUAACACAAAGUAACUGAAACGACGUUACGCAACGAGUUACCUCCUUCGUCGUAAGAGAAAGAAGAAGAGAGAGGCGAGAAGAAUAUUAAUCAACGUCCGAUCGAAUAAUCGCCUUUGAAGUACAAUUUCCCCGAUAUCGAACAAUCUGACUUGGUUAGUGACAUCUCCUAUUUCACGAAACGCUCGGUUCGUUACCUUGGCGUUGUCUCGGGCAAGGCAAGGAGGGUGGCAUCCCCUCGUCGUCUCGUUAUCCCGUUCCACGCUCGUCGAGGGGCCGAAACGGGACGGAUAGGAGAGCGUCGAACGGAGAAGAAAGGACGAGGCCUUAUCUAGGCCCUCCUCCUCCUCCAACUCUUUCGACCGCCGUCGAACAAUCGAGUCGAAGAGAGAAAAGAAGAGAAAAAAGAGGGAAGAAAAAAAGAAAGAAAGAAAAAGAUGAUAAUGCACGAGCUCGUUAUCAAACUUUACGUGGCCAUUGUCGACGAGCUCGUUGUCGGUUGCCCGUAUCGUUCCAGGUAAAAUUCGAAAGAAGAGAGGCACGACAUGACCCUCGCCGUUUCACGGUUCAUCGACACUUUUGCCUGACAUUCCAUUAUUAUUAUUCGCAUCGAAAGGUACCUUCCUUUCGGAGGAGGUGCGAGCUCAAGUUUUCAACGAAACGUUGACCCAGUCCAGUCAUGGCGGAACCAGGGACCAGAACUAUCGUGAGCAACGACAGAACGAGAAAAAAGGGAUCCUCGAGUCCCCGUUGAUCCAGAGUGAAUAAAAUCGUGAAUGCCUCGGCUCGUCGUCGUCGUUUCAACGUCACUCGGCAUACGAAAAUCCGUACGAGCGCGGCCGCGAACUAGUCGAGCAGGAAGCGUGCACACGUUGGUGUGACACACGCGGUGACACACGUGGUCGGUCGUUUGGGUACCGUUUCCAACAUUCCUAUCCGAGCUGUCCGGAACGAGUUAGAGGGGAGGAGUGUUCCGGUUAGCCGAACCGUCGAGCCAGCCAGCCAGCCAGCCAGCCAGCCAGCCGGCCGGCCGUCCAUGGAUAUGGCAGCCGCUGUUGUUGUCUCUCCUCCACGGUUCCAACGUUGUCGGCGGCGUGCUACCUGUGAAUCGAGCGAACAGGUGUUGUCGCAAGGUGUUGCCCGGGCCGGGAUACGUGAUUCCUCGUGAUAGCAGCAGGCUCGUCAAACUGUCUGCGCUAGCGUGUGUGUGUUGUGCUCGUGUUUAACUCGAUCGAUCGUGUGUGCGUGUGCGUGUGCGUGCGUGUGUGCCUGCCUGCCUGCCUGCCUGCGUGUGAGAGAGAGAGAGACGAUCGACACGAUUCCUCGCGUGCGUUCUUAGUGACCGAAAGUGUUUGACCGAAGUGAUACACGGUGAGUUUAGGUGUAAUAGGCCAAGAAGUAGGCCGCGGAGGAGAAAGGAGAGGAGAGGGAAUAUACGCACGGUUGAAAUUGGUGCGAGGGAGAAGAAGAAGGAGGAGGAGGAAAGGAAGAAAGACAGAGUCGCGUUGAUCCGUGUCGGUCGAAGAAAAUUAAGGAUGAAGAGCAGGAUGGUCGAUUGCGCGCGAUCCAUAUCCAGGUUUCGCGGCACCCUUCUUCUGCUUCUGACGCUGCUCGCGGAGGUCACGUAUUCGGCAGACCUCGCGAUCGAGAUACCAGGAAACUUGAGCCAGGGAGGUUCUUGGUACCGUUUGGACUACAGCCCUGCUGUCGGUUAUCCACCACCCAACACCACCAUAGCCGCCAUCGACAUAGGCGACGUGAUAAAGUUCAAGGACGGCCUGCCGGGCACCAAGUACGAAUUUUGGUUGUACUAUAGCAACAGCAGCCUCCACGAUUGGCUGACAUGGACCGCGUCCAUAACUACGGCCCCGGAUCCCCCCUCGAACCUCACCGUCUCGGUGAGAAACGGGAAGACGGCGAUAGUGUACUGGGCGCCGCCCGCCCAGGGCAAUUAUUCCGGGUUCCGGUUAAGGGUGCAGAGUUUCAGCGACACGGGGAACCCCAAGACGAGCGUGAUACCGGCGGACGCGGUUCCCUACGUGCUCCGCGACCUGAUACCAGGUGCAACGUACUCCCUCCAACUGUUCACCGUGCUGGACACCAAGGAGAGCGUCGCGUACACCAGCAGGAAUUUUACCACUAAGCCGAACACGCCGGGCAAGUUCAUCGUAUGGUUCAGAAACGAGACGACCUUGCUGGUCCUGUGGCAGCCUCCCUAUCCUGCCGGGAUUUACACCCAUUACAAAGUUAGUAUAGAUCCCGCAGAUGCCAUAGAAUCUGUUCUUUACGUGGAGAAGGAAGGAGAGCCCCCCGGGCCUGCACAGGCAGCCUUCAAGGGGCUCGUUCCUGGCAGAGCUUACAAUAUUUCGGUUCAAACGGUGUCGGAGGACGAGACUUCGACCCCGACCACGGCCCAGUAUCGAACGGUGCCGUUGCGACCCCUCAACGUUACCUUCGACAAGCCUUCGAUUACGUCCACCUCGUUCCGGGUCUUCUGGAAUCCGCCAGAGGGGAUGUCCGAAUUCGACAAGUAUCAGAUAUCGUUGGGGGGCAACAAAAGGCUCGCCCCGGUCACGAGGAACAGGGACGACGAGAGCAAAUGGGAGUUCAAGGAUUUGGAGCCGGGGAAAACUUAUCAGGUCGUGGUGAAGACCGUCUCGGGCAAGGUUACCAGUUGGCCGGCCAACGGGGACGUUACUUUGAAACCGUUGCCGGUGCGCGAUCUUAGCGCGGUGAUCGACGAGAAAACCGGGAUGGUGGAGGUUUCCUGGCACCCGGAGAACUCGAGUACCCAGGACAGUUACAAGCUUCAGUAUCACGAGGUGGAAACUACGAUCGGCGGUGAUAGCAACAUGUUGACAACUGAUAAGACCAAGGUCACGUUGGAAGCUUUACUGCCAGGCAGGAAUUACUCGAUAAUCGUCCAGGCGAUCAGCAACAAGGUGGAAUCGAACGAGACCGUGCUCUACCAAGUGACACGGCCCUCGAGCCCGAUAAUCGAGGAUCUGAAGCCGACCGAGAUGGGGUUGAACAUCUCGUGGAAGAGCGACGUUAACUCGAGGCAGGAGAAAUUCGAGGUGACGCAUAACAGGAACGACACGGGGGAGAGCGCGACCACCUUGACCACGGAAUCUCACAUAGUUCUCGAGGACCUCUACCCCGGGGCAGCUUACGAGGUCAAAGUUUUCGCCAUUAGCCACGGGCUCAGGAGCGAACCUCACGAUUAUUUUCAAGCUGUUCUGCCCCAUCCGCCAAAGAAUUUAGUGAUCGAGAAAGUGACUACGGGGAACACUGUGGUGGUCCGUUGGGAGGCGCCCACGGAUUCCUUGUAUUCCGAGUUCUCGAUACGAUAUCGGACAGAGGACGACCCAAGAUGGGUGAAGUUGCCCAGCGUUCGCGAGACGGAGGCCGAGGUGGCGGAUAUGACGCCCGGGGAGAAGUACACGAUCCAAGUGAACACCGUCAGUUACGGGGUGGAAAGUCUGUAUCCGCUUCAAGUGAAUCACACAGUUCGAUCCAACCCGGUACUCAACAUCACCCCAAUCGUGGACUCGACGAACGUGACCCUGGAAUGGCCGAGGCCCGAGGGCAGGAUCGAAACGUACGUGAUAAGAUGGUGGCCGGUGGACAAUCCCGAGGACGUGCGCACGAAGAACGUGACGGAGAGCAACGACGUGGGCGGGGCUGGCAUCUACGAGGAGAGCUCGGUGCAAAGGGUGUUGGUCGGCGAUCUUAUGCCCGGUGUUCAAUACUCCUUCGUAAUAUGCACCAUCUCGUAUAACUUGGUCAGUGAGAUCACCAAUCUGACUACGAGGACAAUGCCGCUGAUCCAAUCGGAAGUGGUUGUGGUGGUCGAUCAGGAUCAGCCUGACUCGUUGACCUUGAGAUACACACGGACCCCGGUUCAAUCGUCCAAGUUCGAUCUGUAUCGGUUCCGGAUCAGCGACUCGAGGAACACGACGAAACAGAAGAUGGUGGACGACGUGGACACGAAAGUGACCUUCACCGGCCUCACGCCCGGUAAACUGUACAACGUUACCGUUUGGACCGUCAGCGAUAACGUGGAGAGCAGGCCGCUGCUCAGGCAGGAUCGACUUUAUCCGGAACCGGUCACAUCCAUCCAAGCCAUAGACAUCAACGACACGAGGAUCACGCUCACUUGGGAUAUACCCCGUGGACAGUACGACGCUUUCGAGGUUCAAUACAUAAACACGGAGGGGAAUUACAUUCAGAACAUCACCACGGUGAACUCGAUAACUAUCUCCGAUUUGAAACCGCAUAGAAAUUACACUUUCACAUUGGUGGUCCGUUCCGGGACCGCAUCCUCUUAUCUGAGAAUAUCGAAUCCUCUGAGCGCGAGUUUCACCACGAGCGAGUCCUAUCCUGGAAAGGUGGAGAAGUUCCAUCCCACGGAUAUUCAACCGAGCGACAUCAGCUUCGAGUGGUCGCUACCCAGCCAAGAGCAGAACGGCAUCAUAAUUAAAUACACCAUCACCUACGGUUUGGACGGCUCGAACCACACUCAGAUGCAGGAUUUCAAGCCGAACGAGUACCGCGGCGUGAUCAAGUCUCUGAUACCUGGAAAGACGUACAUGUUCAGGAUCCAGGCGCAGACGAGGAUAGGGUUCGGGCCCGAGGCGGUGUGGAAGCAGAAGAUGCCCAUCCUCGCUCCUCCUAAACCGCCCACGCAGGUGGUGCCGACCGAGGUGUGCAGGAGCAGCACGACGAUACAAAUACGGUUCAGGAAGAAUUACUUCAGCGAGCAGAACGGAGCCGUCACGUCCUACACGAUCAUAGUCGCCGAGGACGACAGCAAGAACGCGUCUGGCUUGGAGAUGCCCAGCUGGAGGGAUGUUCAGGCUUACAGUAUCUGGCCACCGUAUCAGGUGAUGGAGCCUUACUAUCCUUUCAAAAACGGGUCCGUGGAGGAUUUCACGAUCGGCAGCGAGAAUUGCGACAACAAGAUCGGAUACUGCAACGGCCCGUUGAAAUCUGGAUCCACGUACAGAGUAAAAGUUCGCGCGUUCACCGCCCCGGACAAAUUCACGGACACGAGUUACAGUUUCCCGAUUCAAACAGGAUUGCUGCUGGCAGAUAAGGACAAUACGGCUAUCAUAGUUGGAGUCACGGUCCCGAUAGUACUUUUACUGGCUUUACUUGGUAUCGGGUUAUUGGUCAGGCGGAGAAGAAGUCAGGGACGGAAGACGACCGAAACGAGGACCACCGACAAUUUGUCCCUACCUGACAGCGUGAUCGACACGAGUCGGCCGAUCAAGAUAGAAGAUUUUUCUGAACAUUAUCGGACGAUGUCGGCCGAUUCCGAUUUCCGUUUCUCGGAGGAGUUCGAAGAGUUGAAGCACGUAGGAAGGGAUCAACCUUGCACAGCCGCCGAUCUACCGUGCAACAGGCCGAAGAAUCGUUUCACCAAUAUUUUACCCUACGAUCACAGCAGAUUCAAAUUGCAACCCGUGGACGACGAGGAGGGUUCCGAUUACAUCAACGCCAAUUACGUCCCCGGGCACAAUUCUCCGAGAGAGUUCAUCGUCACCCAAGGUCCUUUGCACUCGACGCGUGACGAUUUCUGGAGAAUGGUCUGGGAAAGCAACAGCAGGGCGAUCGUAAUGCUGACCAGGUGUAUCGAGAAGGGAAGAGAGAAGUGUGACCAUUAUUGGCCAGUCGACACUCAUCCCGUCUAUUACGGUGACAUUUGCGUAACUAUAUUGAACGAGACGCAUUAUCCCGAUUGGAGCAUCACCGAAUUUAUGCUGUGCAGAGGAGACGCGAAAAGGGUGAUCCAACACUUCCAUUUCACGACGUGGCCGGACUUUGGCGUUCCAAAUCCUCCUCAAACGUUGGCCAGAUUCGUUCGGGCGUUUAGGGAGAGAGUGAGGCCGGAUCAGAGGCCGAUCGUGGUCCACUGCAGCGCGGGAGUCGGCCGCAGCGGUACGUUCAUCACGUUGGACAGAAUACUACAGCAGAUCCUGGUGUCCAAGUACGUGGACAUAUUUGGGAUAGUGUGGGCGAUGAGGAAGGAGCGCGUGUGGAUGGUCCAGACUGAGCAACAGUACAUUUGCAUACACCAGUGUCUUCUGGCGGUGUUGGAGGGCCAGGACAUGACUGGCCCGCCGCGAGAGAUUCACGACAAUCAGGGAUUCGAAGGCAAGAAUCGAAGCUCGGUUGAAAAUACAAACAGUCCUGGCGAGGAUGAAAAGGAAAGGUGACCCUCGAACUGCGAUUCCGGCGUCGAUGUGAAGAGGAACUUCGUUCUAUUGGACGACGAAGGAAUAGCGGAAUCAGGAAUGUGAUGUUCGAAUACCUCGAUUCAUUCAGGGAUCAACGAACACGAGGAUGCUUUAGAGAUAUUUUGAGAAGAUUGUGCGGUGCAAGAUAUAUAUGUAUAUAUAUAAAUAUAUGAAUGAAUAUAUAUAUAAACAUAUAUAAACCGCGGAAAAUGGAAGAAAUCCUUGUAUCUACUCACGAGAUAUACCAGAAGUGCUUCUGAAAAAGAGACGAGAAACUAGCUUAGCUUCGUUGCUUGAGAGGAAGCGUCACGUUCGAGAUGAUUUACGUCUUUUUUUAGUUUUCUUGCGAGAAGAACAACAACAAUAACAACGGCAACAAUAACAACAAUCAAGACUAUUGCAUCUUCUCACAAAACGUUUCGUGUACGUGGUAGUAAACGAAAUACGAAUGCUUCAAGUCGACGAAUAAUAAUAUAUUAUAUAUAUAUACACACAUAUAUAUAUACCGUCGAUAAUAAUUUUAAACUUUCACCGCGAGAAUGUGAAUGAUACGAGUGAAAAAGAAAGUACCGUUCGACGAUCGAUGCCUCGAGUGUUCGAAUGAUCAGGUUUCGAUCGAUCGAUCGAUGAAAACAAGGUUAUUCCAUUCGAUGGUUUCGACGAUACAUUUUAUCAUCUCAAUCCGUUCAUCUUCCGGGGAAAGACGCGGAGGAAGCGGAAAGGGGGAAAUACAGAGUGCAGAGUGUGAAAUUCUGACGAGCGGAAUGAUUGAAAAUUUUCGAGGGAUUCGAGAUGAUUAUAUUUCUAUUUCUGGGGAAGUUCGAUCGAGAGGAGGGAGGCAUAGGAAGCGAGUUGUUUCGCUCGGAUUUGUGUACAGAUUCUGUACGAGGAAGAGGAAUUAUUUUUUUUUCGCGUCGAAACUGCUUCCACCGUGUUCGGUAAUGUAAAGUUGAGAACGAAUUGAUGUGAUUUUCAUUUUGCGACGAGUGGCUGUUUGAAAGUAGUGGGAGAGAAUUACCGAGAGAUGAGCGUGUAGCAUCGUAAACGAUUUCUCCUCGCCUCUGUUCUUUUCUGUAAAUAAUAAUGUAAAUCGACGAUACUGAAUGUUCUCGAAAAACGGACGAGGCGGUUUUUUUCAAAUCGGAUCACGGGAGAGCGAUCAUAAUUCCGGGAUCGAGGAGUUGUCUCCUUCUCUCCCUUUUCUUUUCUUUUCUUUUCUUUUCUUUUCUUUUUCUUUUUCUCUUUUUCCUUCACGAAGAAAAAAGGCGACGAUCGAUGCUCGCGUUUUUAGGUACCGCGAUGUAGAUAAAUCUCCAAGUUGCAUAUCUUAAGGAUUGUAAGAUGCGUAUUGGGUUGCCACGUUGCGAUCGAGAUCUUUCAAUCGAGCUUGAAGAAAAAUCAAUUUUUCUCUCGCCUAAUUUUUUUUCUUUUUUCUUUUUUUUCUUUUUUUCUUUCAUCAUUCACGGAAUAUACAAUUUAUUGGAAAAUUCGUAUUCAAAAUCGUGAGUGGCAACCAUCCGUCCAAAGGGGGUGUAGUAGAAAUACCGAUUAAAGAAAACACUGCCUAGAAUGAAAAAAAAAAAAAAAAAAGAAAAAAAGAAAAAAAAACAAACGGGGAAUAUGAAAUAGGAAUACGAGAGAAGAAUGGAUUUCCUCCUUUUUUUUUCUUUCACGAUAGGAAGAGAAUUAAGAGAAAUAAAUAAAUAAAUAAAUAAAUAAAUAAAAGUAAAGUAAAAAAAAAAAAAAAAAAAAUUUAACAUGUCACAGUGGGAACAAGAAACUCGCAUCUUCGUAGAAGUCAUAUCACUCUUUUCACGGGAAUCACUCGACGAUCCGUAUAAUAAUACAUAAUAUUUACUAAUCAUCGACAGUUCGAUUCUUCGAAAUCGAGACGUUCUUCGAGAUCGUUAAUCAUAGAUCGUAGAUCGUUCGUAACUUUUGACAUCGUUCAUCGACGCCGUUUCGUGUAUCGUUUCGUAUAUCGUUUGACCGAUCUCUCUCUCUCUCUCUCUCUCUCUAAAAACAAAAAACAAAAGAAACGUGAAUCGAUGAACCUUCAACACGACGGACCAAAACUGCUUCUCUGUUUGCACGAUUCGAACGAUGAUCGAUGAUCAAUAGGAUUUACAAUUUAGACAGGAAUAUCACGAGGGAUAAGUAAGUCUGGUGGAGGAGAAAGGAACGAUCGAAUCUUGGAUCGAGAUUGAAAAAAAAGAAAAAUUGGACGAAAAUUUUAGGACGACUACGACUACGACGACGAAUUUCCACCACGUUCCGUUUUGAGAACGGAAACGGAAGAUCCGAUCGAUCACCCUCCGGUACUUAGAGGUCGGAAGAUUUGCUCGAUGCUACAAAGAAAAAAAAAAAAAAAAUCUGUGUACUUAAUUCUCUAUUUUUACCGUAUAUUUGAGGCAAUGUAGGAAGGAGGGGGGGAAGGGAGAGGGUGGGGGAUUUUUACGCGUUUGAGAGUCGCGUGAAAUUUCUGAUUAUUGUUCUCGAAUCAGGGUAAAAAGAAUUGAUUCUCUCUAAUAUGGAAGGGGAGAGAAUCGUGUUUUUUGGAAAUUUCAAAUUCACUGCCCACAUGUAUUUUUGGAGGAACGUUUUUUAUAUUCGCUAUUAAGUAGUCGCGCGUGAAUAUCGACUCGUGAAUCUUUUACUUGUAUCAGGAGAUGUGAAUAUGAGUCCGGUCGGCUCGAUCAUUUUAUUAUCGAUAUCGUAUUAUAUACUCGAUCCGUGGAUCCGUGAUCGAGAGAUUGAAAAUGAUAUCGAGUGAAUAUUGACUGAAACACGAAUUAUUUGAUUGAAUAAUUAGAUUACAGCGCGAAAUAUACGAAAGUGUGAUUCGAAACUCGAUAGUAUGAUGAAAAGGUAGAAAGAAUAACAUCGAUCUUGAUAGAUUCGAGCGAGGACUAAACGAACCAUUUAUGAUAAUUUUUUUUUUUUCUAAAAAUUCUCUUCUCUGAUUCUUCUCCAAGUCACUUCGCUUGACGACUUUAUAGAAACGAAAUUAGACGGCACGACUGAUGAUUAAUCGAUAAUCGAGAUAUUUUUGUAAAGGAAAUUCGAUAAUAUCGACUUAAAGAGAGGAGGGGGAGAAAAAAAAAGAAUUUGCCAAUCGACUGCCAAACGCAAUAGAGAGUAUUAUAAAGCGAUAAGGUUUUAUUAAUUACUUAUCAAACUCCCAUGAGGGGGGAGGUUUGUUUCCUUUCCAGGUUAGAAAAUUGUUCCAAAUAAGAGAUAAGAUUUCUUAGAUGCGUAAUAUUGUAUAUAAUUGUAUAAUGAGAAUGGGAUAAGAUAUAGGCGAGUCGAUAAAGGAAAAGUUCGACAAGUUGCAGUUUCCAAUCCAUCGAAUUUCUUUGCUACGAUAUCUAUCGCUGUACAUGCUGUCGCUGUGUUAUCAUUAUUGUAAUCAUUGAUGUUUCUCGUGUAAAUGGAUAAUUGUCACAGCCCCCCCCCCGGGUCGUUCGAGUUUCGUUUUACGGGAAAUGCACGCGUUCUUGUUCUCUUCCUUCUCUUAAUGAAAUUUAAAUGAAAUCACAGAUCGGUUUCUCAUUCGAAUUCUGGAAAUGUGUAAACGCGUAGGUGGAUGUGUGUCCACGAUCAAGAAUCAAUAUCGUUUAGUUCAUUCAAUUUCGUUCUGUUCCUCCUCUUUCUUCGAAAAAUAAUCUCGUGUCUUUCGGAUGAUUGUGACGCACGUUUUACGAUGUUUUACGUUUUUUCGUGACUUUUUUUUUUCUUUUUUUUUUUUAAUAGAAAAAGUACUUGGAUGCUUUUACAAAGUCGAUUUUACUUUAUUGCAUCGAUAUCGAUGCACGACGAUUAUUUGUUUUUGCUCUCCAAUGAAAUUUCUCGGAUCAUGUCGAAAAUAAUUUCUUAUAUUUUUAUGAAAACUAACUUUGUUAACUUUUCGAAAAGUUAGGCAAGUUUUCUCCUUUAUAAUAUUUUUCGUCUCUUCUUUUUUUUUUUUCACAGCUUGUUCAAUUUUCACGCGAAUUUCACAAAAAUUUCACAUCGAUCCAACGCUACAAUUAUUGCUUACUUUAUGCUAUCCCGAAUCAUUGACGCGACUCUACAUAGUUUUAUGCGCAUAAGAAAUCAAUAAUAAAUUAAUGUGAUAACUAAAUAAAUAAAGGGAGAUAAUUUUUGCAAUCUCAUUUAAUAUUCAAUUUCCAUGAAAAUGUUCCAUUGAAACGUGUAACUAAAAGAUCGACAGUUUUUAAAUUAUUUGUACAUAAUAAUAAUAAUAACAAUAACAAUAACAAUAAUAAUAAUAAUAAUAAAAAUAAUUAUCGAAUUUAUUUAAGAAAUGAUCCUAUAUAUUUUCUAAUCAAAUUAUUAUCGCGUGCGUGUAUAAUUCCUCGAUUGAAGUGACGUUGUAUUGCUUGUAAAAAAAAAAAGAAAAAAAAAGAAAAAAAAAGAACACGGUUGAUCAACCAAUUAACAAAUCCCAAAAAAUAAAUGUCGCUUUCAUCGAAUCAGAUUCACCAGAUUCAUCGUGAAUCGCGUCAAACACCCGCUCGGAUUUUUUUCAUGUUUACGAGUGUAACGCCACAAAUAAUGGAAAAUUUUCGAUCAUCGUCUGUGUAAGUGUGUGCUUCUGUAUACAUAUACCACGAUCAUAUCAUAACGUAAUUGUAAAAAAAAAAAAAAAAAAAAACAAGAAAAAAAGGAAAAAAAAAAGAUCUGUAUAAUAUGAUCUGAAUUAUAUCUAUGUUCUAAGGCGUUCAAUGUCAUUGCAGCUUUCCAUACGUACGAAGGGUAUAAAAAUUGCGGAAUUUGGAUUGUCGGAUAAAUUUUGCCAAAUUAUUCUCGAUCGAAUAAACGUUCAACAUUGCCUCGUUUUGAGAAUUAUGGAUAAUGUGAAAGUGAAAGUGUGAAAGAAUUUUUUUUAAUCAGAUCUCUCUUCGAAAAAGGGCAAAAUUUAUUGUGCACAAUUAAUAAGAAAAAUAACGAUUCUUUUUUUUUUUUUUUUUUUUUUAGAACAAACGCAAUCGAACACGAAUUGUUUCGAACGAAUUUAAAAUUAUGAUGAAAAAUGCAAAGAUGCGCGUAGGUCGUUGCAUCAAGUUUUGAAUUGGAGUGAAUUGGAAUCUCAUUUGCACCGUGCUCGAUUUUACGCGUACGCACCACAAGUUCGAUGGAAAUGUUAAAUUUAUUUUAACAUUUGAUAAAUAACCGGAGAAAUCCAUUUAUUACAAUAUAUAUAUAUAUAUAUAUGUAAUAAAAAAAGAGUCGAGCACGAAGAUAUACGAUGCGAAAAUUGCGUUGUCAUUAGUGUAAUGAAUGCGUUAUUCUGUGAUAAAUCAAUAUUGUUGGAGCGAGUAUGGGGAAUUAAAGAGACAAGAUGAGGUACAACCGAAUGGAUGAUUAAUAGUAAAGUUUUUUUCGAUAUCGAGUAUGGGUUCGUGCCAAUUACUAUUUUUUCUUUCUUUUUCUUUUUUUUUUUUUUCUUCGCUGGAUCAUUUGGAGGAUCAAGAUCCCGAAACGAUAAUAAAUCGACGUGAAACGAAAAAGAAAAAAAAGAAAAAAGAAAAGAAAAAAAGAAAUCAUCACACAGGAACAAUUGUACGAUAAAUUGAUCUAACGAUCGUUGAAAUCACCUAUGAAUCCAGCGCAUUGUCGCCCGAUUCUAUGUAAAUAAUAAGUAGAUGAUAGGAUGGAGAAAGAUAUGUAACGUUUAUAUUUUUUAAACGGCGCGCACAAAAAAUCGUUGGACACAAAUUGUGUUAAUCGAUAGAUGGGAUGAUGCUUGACGUCUGCGAUAUUUAACUGGGCAAUAUCGAAACAAAUUGUUGACAAAUUCUGACAACAACGAUUUAUUUCACUUCGGAAACCAUUCCUUUACACACAGAUUUAUAUAGAUGGAUAAAUAGACGAAGAGGACGGAAA